Molecule: RNA transcript, 1194 nt
Organism: Nomascus leucogenys (northern white-cheeked gibbon)
Lineage: Eukaryota; Metazoa; Chordata; Mammalia; Primates; Hylobatidae
Gene name: histone-arginine methyltransferase CARM1 pseudogene
Exons: 2
Source: RefSeq, a predicted model, not a curated record
AUGACUGAGCUCAUGAUUGGUUUCUCUGCCACUGCUACAGCUGGCGUCUUUGCCCUGGCACAGGGGCACUCACUGACUUUAUGGGGUGGCGCGGGGUCAGCGGGCCUGGGCGGAGCGGGGCCCUGCGCGGCCGUGUCCAUGUUCCCCGGCGGCCGCCUCCUCACCAUCGGCGACGCGAACGGCGAGAUCCAGCUGCACGCGGAGCAGCAGGCGCUGCGCCUCGAGGUGCGCGCCGGCCCGGACGCGGCGGGAAUCGCCCUCUACAGCCAUGAAGAUGUGUGUGUCUUUAAGUGCUCAGUGUCCCGAGAGACAGAGUGCAGCCAUGUGGGCAAGCAGUCCUUCAUCAUCACCCUGGGCUGCAACAGUGUCCUCAUCCAGUUCGCCACACCCAACGAUUUCUGUUCCUUCUACAACAUCCUGAAAACCUGCCGGGGCCACACCCUGGAGCGGUCCGUGUUCAGUGAGCGGACGGAGGAGUCUUCUGCCGUGCAGUACUUCCAGUUUUAUGGCUACCUGUCCCAGCAGCAGAACAUGAUGCAGGACUACGUGCGGACAGGCACCUACCAGCGCGCCAUCCUGCAAAACCACACCGACUUCAAGGACAAGAUCGUUCUUGAUGUUGGCUGUGGCUCUGGGAUCCUGUCGUUUUUUGCCGCCCAAGCUGGAGCACGGAAAAUCUACGCGGUGGAGGCCAGCACCACGGCCCAGCACGCCGAGGUCUUGGUGAAGAGUAACAACCUGACGGACCACAUCGUGGUCAUCCCGGGCAAGGUGGAGGAGGUGUCACUCCCCGAGCAGGUGGACAUCAUCAUCUCGGAGCCCAUGGGCUACAUGCUCUUCAAUGAGCGCAUGCUGGAGAGCUACCUCCACGCCAAGAAGUACCUGAAGCCCAGCGGAAACAUGUUUCCUACCAUUGGUGACGUCCACCUUGCACCCUUCACGGAUGAACAGCUCUACAUGGAGCAGUUCACCAAGGCCAACUUCUGGUACCAGCCAUCGUUCCACAGAGUGGACCUGUCGGCCCUCCGAGGUGCCGGGGUGGAUGAGUAUUUCCGGCAGCCUGUGGUGGACACAUUUGACAUCCGGAUCCUGAUGGCCAAGUCUAUCAAGUACACGGUGAACUUCUUAGAAGCCAAAGUUGGGAGUGGAAACAUGGAUGAGUCCAGCUUUGUGAGCAAAUUUCAUUGCCACUGA